AUUUGGAUAGCUUAAUAUAGAGUACAAUAUUGAAGAUAUUGGGGUAGUAAAAUUACUUUCAAAUA
Molecule: transfer RNA, 65 nt
Filed under: Xylotrechus grayii
Lineage: Eukaryota; Metazoa; Arthropoda; Insecta; Coleoptera; Cerambycidae
Description: tRNA-Phe
Source: RNAcentral